GUGACUGGCUGGCACGUGAGUAUCCCGGCCUUCCUGGCACCCUUAAGCCUCGCAUCCAUCCGGCUUCCUGGGCGGGAGAAAGUGACAGAAGAAGCCUGUAAAUGGUCAACAAGAAGGGGGCUUGUUGUCCCAGGCUGUCCCUCGUUCCACGCACUGUGGUCACGAAGGUGGGACAGGCCAGGAGGGGCCCAGCCAGCCGCGGGGUGGGGGCCAGCGCCAGACCAGGCUGGCCCUGCCUCCACCUGCUGCCGCGACACCUGAUGGUGGCAGGAAUCACGAUUCCUGAUAACAGUGAUCACGAGAGCCGCCGUGCAGUCCUGGGCUCGCAGCCCUGCCUGGUCCAGGACCGAGGGGACAGUAACCCCAGGGCGAGGGGACAGCCCUGGUCGCAUCUCACGCUGAGAAGUUGAGUCUGGGGGCCGUGAGGUGGCCCCAGGAGUGCAUCUGAAACCAGCCCGGCUCCUUGCACUCGGUCCUGCAUCCUCAGCUCGCGGCGUGGACGAUGCUCUGGGAGGGAGGGGGUGGCUGUGAGCGCGUCAGGAGAGGAUGGCCCUGAACACAGACACAGGCUGCCUCCAUCCCUCCCGGAGAGGUGGGGUCGCCCCCCCCCCACUGUGUUCACCACCCCCCACCCCCAGACCUCCUGGGUCCCCUCAGCAUGAGGGCAUCCGUCCCACCUGGGCUCCCAGCUGUGCCUCCUGGACCAGUCGCUUUCCUGCUUGUCCUGUAGCUGCUCUGCUGGUGUCUCACCCACCGUUAAGUGUCUUCUGCUUGUUCUGUGCUGGCCCCCCGGGGUCCCCUGAAGCCCAAGCAGUCGGGGUGGGGGGGGGAGUGUUUGCUGCUGCUCCCGCUGUCUGGACACAGUUAGCCCUGCGGUUAGUAGCUGGGCCCUGCUCCCCCCAACCCCGGAGAGCUGUGUGGUCUGGGGAGGCUGGGGUUUGCAUUUUAAGUUGAGGAGUAACAGUGCACCUUAGCUCACCUGUCCUUGUGGGAUUCAAUGGCACCUAUGCUGGACCCAUGGUGACACUCGUGCCAUCACUGACAGUUGUCACUGUCGGUGUGCCUGGGCCUAGAUGCUUCCCAAAGGGUUCCCUGAGUACCCUCAGGGGAGGCUGGCCUUGCUGCCCCAUCCCUGGGGAGCCUGGGGACCCCGCUGCUGCUGUGAGUGUGGCUGAGGUGAGGCCAGAGCCCUGAGCACAGGAAGGAUCUGGAGCCCCGCUGCCUUGAGCAGGUGCAGGCACUGCCAGGCACUGCCAGGCACAGGUGGCUGGGUGCAGGCACUGCCACCAGGACACUUAGAUUGGGCAACAAGAGACUGACCCUUUUUGCUUGCUGGGGUGGCUGACACGCUGGGCUCUGACUUCCCUGGGGGGACAGAGCUCCCCAUCUUCAGCGUUCGCCCUGGCGAGGACAUAGUGACAGGGGCCUUCUCCUCUGGCCGGUCCCUCCGGGCACCUGGUCCUUCCCAGCCCCUCCCAGUCUGGGUGGCAGCCAGCAAUGCCAUCACAGGCCCUGCCGGGAAGGCUGGGGGGCCGGCCUCUUGCACCGACAGGUCUGGGGGGGCCUCAGGGAAUCACGAGGGGUGACAGGCAGAGCCUGUGAGCCCAGGGCUCCCAGGCCAGGGAGUCUCCCUGGCUUCUCUGCCUUAUUCCCACCCUUGUGGCUGUGGCUGGACUGUCCACCUCCUCUUCCUGGACUGGGAGACCCACGGGGACGGGCCGGCCUUGCCUGCCGCCGCGUCUGCCAAUCAACUUGGGGAUGAGAGGGUAGGGCCUUGCCUGUCCUGCGGAGCUGGCCUGUGGCCACUGCCUCUUGCCCUGGGGCCCCACGGGAGCCAGGGACCCGGUCACCACAAAUAUGGCCAAGAAGCCAACUGUGCAGCUGGACUACGAUGGAGAGUCGGUGCUGAUUCAGUCACCUGCCGCCUCCAUCCUGCAUCCCAGCCCGACCCUCCAUCCUCCAUGGUGGGCACGGGGCCUCGAACCCCUCAGCAGGGAGCUUCUUCCCACUUUCCAACUGAAACACUGUUGGACUCUGAGGCCCAGAGCCGCUCGAGGACAAAUCUCUCAUCUGUCUUUUGUCCAAGGUCGUCCCUGGAAGGGACACGGCCUCAGAUGGUCCCUGCUGGCCAGAGUCUAGGGGACCCAUAAGGGCCUCUCCUGUGUCCCCGAGACGGGUACAGAGAUGACACCUGCUGGCUCUCAGCAGUGAGAGACCCGAGCGGGAAAUGGACUGUCGAGGUGGGACGCUUGGCGGGAAAUUGACCAUCGAGGCGGGACACUUGGCGGGAAAUUGACCAUCGAGGCGGGACGCUUGGCGUUGGCUUGGGUGACCAAGGUCAUGGCCCUCCGAUCUCCAUGGCCCCCGCGGUCGACUUUCUCUGCUAGGACAAGCUGUGCCCCACUGUCUCCAAAACCAGUCCUCCGACCAGGGGCUCCAGGCUUCAGAGCAGCCCUGGGCACCGCGUGGGUCACCUCCGCUUGGACGGUCGAGGCCAGUGUGACCGCGGAGGUGCUUCUGCCCCUGGGAGCAGGCCUCCUCCUGUGAUGUGGCCUGGCCACUCUUAUGCCCGGGGCUGUUCUUCUUCUCCUGUGGGGUUGUGGUUCUGCCCAGGGUCCCAUGUCUGACGUCACCCUGAAGGCUGCACCUUUUCCCUUUACCCGACUGCCCAUCUCUCCUGGUUCUCACUAGAAGGACUAGAAAAAUCCCUUCUUGGCACCUGGGAGGGAGAGUGACACAAACUGUCCCCGUCGUUGGUCUCAGCCCUGCCCCUUUCUGCCCACACCAGGCCAGGUCCCUGGGCUGACCUUGAGCUCCAGCCCUGUCCCCAAGCAGGCUCCAUCUCCCACUGCAUGUGGCCCUCCUCCCUGCGCCCAGCCCCCACCAGCUGCCUCCAGUGUCCCUGCUCCAGAGCUUCACUGUCUCUUGUUGAGGUAGGGGCCCUAGGGGACAGGCAGCUUGUCCGGAGGCUGCAGGUCCAGCCCUAGGGGGGCAGGUCAGCCCCCACCUAGCCUGGGCCCUCGGCCCGAUGACACAGAUUAAAUUCCGUGGGGGCAGGGAUCCGGCCUCCCUGGGCCCAGCAGGCAAAUGGUGGGCUGGGCUCUGACCAGCCUGUGCCCUUAACUGGCGUUCAGUGGAUUGGAAACUCAGGGCUUACGGCUGUAAAAUACACAGCCUCAGCCAUGGAGCUGAUGUGUAAUCCUGGUAUGUUGGGUAGAUUUCAAGACCCUGAGCCAUAAAAACCUGCUCCUGGAGUUCCCGGGUGGCCCAGUGGGCUAAGGAGCUGAUGUCCCGGCAGUGAUUCAGGUGGCUGCUGUGGCGCAGGUUCUGUCCCUGGCCCGGGAACUCCCGCAUGCCAUGCGUGUGGCCAAAACACAGAACAAAACAGAAACAGACAAAAAAAGAAACCACAUACACAAAAAACUGCUACAAAGGCCACGAGAGAUAAGUGUGUACGUGUGUGUGUGUGUGUGUGUGUGUAUUUACUCUCUCUUCCUAGACUUUUCCAGCGCAGGGGGCAUCUGACAUUCUGGCUUAACCUCAGAGAAGCUGUUGCCGCUCACCUGAGCACUAACCGUCCACUUUUUUCCCUCUUUUCCAGAACUUGUCCUCAAGAGUCGCCAGUGCUCCGGACCUGGUAAGAGGGGCUUCCAGGCCCUGCCCCCACGCCCCCCACCACGUCCCACUUAGAUUCGCGUUCUGACAGCUUCACGCUUUUCCUGACUUCAACGUACCCCUUCUUCAGGCCCUGUGGGCGACAUCUGCCUGUUUGAAGUUAGGCCUCCUCAGACCAUAAUUUUAGGCCAUAAAUGAAACGCCUCAAACUGCAGCAUUGCCGCGAAAUAUUCUGCUAUUGUGAUCAGUUCAUGUGCUGGCCCACUUGGGCGUGAUUUAUUUUGGAAACAAAGGCAAAUUAGUCACCUCACAACAUGGAAAGCCAGGCGUGAGAGUCUUAUGUUUUCAGCUAUUUCAUUGUGAUAAAAACCUGGGCGUGUGUGUGGUUUUUUUGUUGUUAUUGGAUGAAUAUAAGCUUCAGGCUUAACACAUUUCAGUAGACACAUCUGUGGAGAUACAGAAGUAUCACAUAUUUAAUUUAUAUCCUGCUGCAAAUGAAAUUGUAUUACCCACCGCUUAAUGGUUAAAAGGUCAAAAUGUCUUUUCUGAGGGAUGGAUAGAAGUGUGAAAGAGGAGUUCCCGUUGUGGCUCCGUGGGUUAAGAACCUGAUGCAGUGUCGGCGAGGAUGCGGGUUUGAUCCCUGGCCUCGCUCACUGAGUUAAGGAUCCGGCACUGCCGUGGCUAUAGCACAGGCCUCCGCUGUAGCUCCAAUUCAGUCUCUGGCCCAGGAACUUCAUAUGCCGCAGGUGCAGCU
This 4369-nucleotide long non-coding RNA is filed under the name Sus scrofa (pig). RNAcentral describes it as "lncRNA (ENSSSCG00000059475.1)". The record is from RNAcentral. Lineage: Eukaryota; Metazoa; Chordata; Mammalia; Artiodactyla; Suidae.